RNAcentral lists this ribosomal RNA (253 nucleotides) under uncultured bacterium. RNAcentral's name for it is "partial 16S ribosomal RNA". It matches the Rfam family "Bacterial small subunit ribosomal RNA", at positions 524 to 776 of the family's 1533-position model. The record is from RNAcentral.
UACGUAGGUGGCAAGCGUUGUCCGGAUUUACUGGGCGUAAAGAGCGCGCAGGCGGUCGUUCAAGUCGCGUGUGAAAGCCCCCGGCUCAACUGGGGAGGGUCACGCGAUACUGAUCGACUCGAAGGCGGGAGAGGGUAGUGGAAUUCCCGGUGUAGUGGUGAAAUGCGUAGACAUCGGGAGGAACACCAGUGGCGAAGGCGACUACCUGGCCUGUUCUUGACGCUGAGGCGCGAAAGCUAGGGGAGCAAACGGG